CCCAAGCCCUGUCAGUCUCAUUGCCAGUCUCUCUGCAGGUUGUGAGAACCCCAAGCCCUGUCGGUCUCAUUGAGAGUCUCUCUGCAGGUUGUGAGAACCCCAAGCCCUGUCAGUCUCAUUGAGAGUCUCUCUGCAGGUUGUGAGAACCCCAAGCCCUGUCAGUCUCAUUGAGAGUCUCUCUGCAGGUUGUGAGAACCCCAAGCCCUGUCAGUCUCAUUGAGAGUCUCUCUGCAGGUUGUGAGAACCCCAAGCCCUGUCAGUCUCAUUGAGAGUCUCUCUGCAGGUUGUGAGAACCCCAAGCCCUGUCAGUCUCAUUGAGAGUCUCUCUGCAGGUUGUGAGAACCCCAAGCCCUGUCAGUCUCAUUGAGAGUCUCUCUGCAGGUUGUGAGAACCCCAAGCCCUGUCAGUCUCAUUGAGAGUCUCUCUGCAGGUUGUGAGAACCCCAAGCCCUGUCAGUCUCAUUGAGAGUCUCUCUGCAGGUUGUGAGAACCCCAAGCCCUGUCAGUCUCAUUGAGAGUCUCUCUGCAGGUUGUGAGAACCCCAAGCCCUGUCAGUCUCAUUGAGAGUCUCUCUGCAGGUUGUGAGAACCCCAAGCCCUGUCAGUCUCAUUGAGAGUCUCUCUGCAGGUUGUGAGAACCCCAAGCCCUGUCGGUCUCAUUGAGAGUCUCUCUGCAGGUUGUGAGAACCCCAAGCCCUGUCAGUCUCAUUGAGAGUCUCUCUGCAGGUUGUGAGAACCCCAAGCCCUGUCAGUCUCAUUGAGAGUCUCUCUGCAGGUUGUGAGAACCCCAAGCCCUGUCAGUCUCAUUGAGAGUCUCUCUGCAGGUUGUGAGAACCCCAAGCCCUGUCAGUCUCAUUGAGAGUCUCUCUGCAGGUUGUGAGAACCCCAAGCCCUGUCAGUCUCAUUGAGAGUCUCUCUGCAGGUUGUGAGAACCCCAAGCCCUGUCAGUCUCAUUGAGAGUCUCUCUGCAGGUUGUGAGAACCCCAAGCCCUGUCGGUCUCAUUGAGAGUCUCUCUGCAGGUUGUGAGAACCCCAAGCCCUGUCAGUCUCAUUGAGAGUCUCUCUGCAGGUUGUGAGAACCCCAAGCCCUGUCAGUCUCAUUGAGAGUCUCUCUGCAGGUUGUGAGAACCCCAAGCCCUGUCAGUCUCAUUGAGAGUCUCUCUGCAGGUUGUGAGAACCCCAAGCCCUGUCAGUCUCAUUGAGAGUCUCUCUGCAGGUUGUGAGAACCCCAAGCCCUGUCAGUCUCAUUGAGAGUCUCUCUGCAGGUUGUGAGAACCCCAAGCCCUGUCAGUCUCAUUGAGAGUCUCUCUGCAGGUUGUGAGAACCCCAAGCCCUGUCAGUCUCAUUGAGAGUCUCUCUGCAGGUUGUGAGAACCCCAAGCCCUGUCAGUCUCAUUGAGAGUCUCUCUGCAGGUUGUGAGAACCCCAAGCCCUGUCAGUCUCAUUGAGAGUCUCUCUGCAGGUUGUGAGAACCCCAAGCCCUGUCAGUCUCAUUGAGAGUCUCUCUGCAGGUUGUGAGAACCCCAAGCCCUGUCAGUCUCAUUGAGAGUCUCUCUGCAGGUUGUGAGAACCCCAAGCCCUGUCAGUCUCAUUGAGAGUCUCUCUGCAGGUUGUGAGAACCCCAAGCCCUGUCAGUCUCAUUGAGAGUCUCUCUGCAGGUUGUGAGAACCCCAAGCCCUGUCAGUCUCAUUGAGAGUCUCUCUGCAGGUUGUGAGAACCCCAAGCCCUGUCAGUCUCAUUGAGAGUCUCUCUGCAGGUUGUGAGAACCCCAAGCCCUGUCAGUCUCAUUGAGAGUCUCUCUGCAGGUUGUGAGAACCCCAAGCCCUGUCAGUCUCAUUGAGAGUCUCUCUGCAGGUUGUGAGAACCCCAAGCCCUGUCAGUCUCAUUGAGAGUCUCUCUGCAGGUUGUGAGAACCCCAAGCCCUGUCAGUCUCAUUGAGAGUCUCUCUGCAGGUUGUGAGAACCCCAAGCCCUGUCAGUCUCAUUGAGAGUCUCUCUGCAGGUUGUGAGAACCCCAAGCCCUGUCAGUCUCAUUGAGAGUCUCUCUGCAGGUUGUGAGAACCCCAAGCCCUGUCAGUCUCAUUGAGAGUCUCUCUGCAGGUUGUGAGAACCCCAAGCCCUGUCAGUCUCAUUGAGAGUCUCUCUGCAGGUUGUGAGAACCCCAAGCCCUGUCAGUCUCAUUGAGAGUCUCUCUGCAGGUUGUGAGAACCCCAAGCCCUGUCAGUCUCAUUGCGAGUCUCUCUGCCAGUUGUGAGAACCCCAAGCCCUGUCAGUCUCAUUGAGAGUCUAUCUGCAGGUUGUGAGAACCCCAAGACCUGUCGGUCUCAGCUCACCGUGUUGGAGUACGGAGAUUAUGAUGGAGACCCUGUUACCAAGGUGAUGCUGCAGCCUCUCACAGGUCGUACCCACCAACUGAGGGUUCACUGUGAGGCGGUAGGGCACCCCAUCGUAGGAGACCACACCUACAGCCUGGGAGAGGACAGCGCCCCCUAUCGCAUGAUGCUGCACGCACACCUCCUACACCUCCCUCUGGAGCCACUCUCCCUGCAGGCCGCCGCCCCCGACCCCUUCACCACGCCCACUGACCCCCGCUGGCGCCCGCAGCGCUGCCUCCGGACUGUAGAGGGAGUCGUGGAGACCCUGCUGGAGCGCAGGGCGGCGGAGGAGAGGACAGAGCGGGAGGAGAGGAGGAGGCAGCAGGAGGAGAGGAGGAGGCAGCAGGAGGAGAGGAGGAAGAGGUGGAGGGGGAGAGAGGAGAGUGAGGAGCAGAGGAGGAUGUGUCAGCAGUGGUUGUCUGAGUGGACUGAUGUCUGAAUUCUCCUUCUCCUCUUCAUCCUCAUUCCUUCUCCUCUUCAUCCUCAUCCCUUCUCCUCUUCAUCCCCAUCCCUUCUCCUCUCUUCAUCCUCCAUCCCUUCUCCUCUUCAUCCCAAUCCCUUCUCCUCUCUUCAUCCUCAUCCCUUCUCCUCUCUUCAUCCUCAUUCCUUCUCCUCUUCAUCCUCAUCCCUUCUCCUCUCUUCAUCCUCAUCCCUUCUCCUCUUCAUCCUCCAUCCCUUCUCCUUCUCCUCUCUUCAUCCUCAUCCCUUCUCCUCUCUUCAUCCUCAUUCCUUCUCCUCUCUUCAUCCUCAUCCCUUCUCCUUCUCCUGUCUUCAUCCCCAUCCCUUCUCCUUCAUCACCCCCUUCCUCUGUUAACCUCUCCUGGAGACUCUGCAACCAAAAGCAUAUUUUACUAUUUGAUCUGCUUG
RNA transcript from Oncorhynchus keta (chum salmon), 3238 nucleotides. It is a transcript of the gene named RNA pseudouridylate synthase domain-containing protein 1-like, with no coding region annotated. The record is from RefSeq and is a predicted model, not a curated record. Lineage: Eukaryota; Metazoa; Chordata; Actinopteri; Salmoniformes; Salmonidae. The transcript has 6 exons.